AAUACAUGAAAAACUACUUUCAAAUAUAAACCGUUACCCUUUUCUACCUGACACUCCCAACUGUAAUUUACUCACCAAAUCUAAAAGCAUAGAAUGUCCCCCACCUCACAAUCCUUACUUCUUGUUCAGGAAAAGGCUAGGAUCUGAGUCUCUAUGCGGGUGCUAUCAGAUCUCAGCACAGCUGAAGGUAAGGUGGAAGCUGUCAGAAGUCCAAUGUCUUCACAAGACCACUAGAAAAAAUUGCUGAUCAAGCAAAGCCGAGUUUAGACUUACUGCAGGAAGGGAGGAUGCCAUUUGACUGAAUCUUAGUCGCAUCUCAGAAGGAUGAAGUCAGAGGAGUAUAGUUAGAGAAUCUAAAAGACUGGGCUGAAUGAUUUUAAAGUGGAUUUUGCAAGGUAGAAACUCAUUGUGACUAGGAAGUUUACACUGUAAUAGUUUUCGUUUAGUCGACUGACGUUGUAAGCACCACCAAGCAAUUCAUGAAUUCCCAGCAGACGCUGACCGCGUGUCCUGCCAGUCUAACUCAAUUCUGAUGCUAUCUACCUGGAGAGAGAGCCAUCUCCCACAGGUGAAGAGCUCCGUCCUACAAGUCUGCCUCCACUCCAGAUGUCAGUUGGAAGUCCAGAUUGUGACCUGUGCUUCUGACCAACUGGCUAUAGAUCGGAGGUUCCCACAACCCCCUCCUUGGGUUCAAUUAUUUUGCUAGAGUGGCUCACAGAACUCAGGAAACCAGUUUACCUACUACAUUACCACUUUAUUACAAAGGAUAUUAAAGGAUACAAGUGAAUAGCCAGAUGAAGAGAUACAUAGGCAAGGUCCAGAAGGUUCCAAAUCACAGGAGCUUCUGCCCUUGUGGAGUGUGGGGUGUGCCACCCUCCUGGCACACAGAUAUGUUUUGGUUUACCAACCUGGAAGCUCUCCAAACCCCAUUCUUCUGAGUUUUUAUGGAGGCUUCAUGACAUAGGCAUGAUUGAUUAAAUCAUUGGCCCCUGGUGAUUGAACUCAAUCUUCUCCAGUGCCUCUCCCCUCCUGCAGGUGGUCACUGGGUAGGACUAAAAGUUCCAAGCCUCUAAUCACGUGGUUGGUUCCCUUGGCAACCAGCCCUCAUCCUUAGGUUACCUAGGGGCUUUCCAAAGCUUGCCUCAUUAACAUAACAAAAGACACCUUUGUUGUUCUCAUUGCUUAGAAAUUUCCAAGGGCUUUAGGAGCUCUGUGCCAGGAAUGGAGACAAAGACCAAGUGGAUAUUUCUUAUUAUAAAUCACAGUAUCAGAGGUUGCCUGUUAUUGCUUUUAUUGGUGUAGAGAGUUUUCUUUUUAUGUCUGUAUUUAUGGAUAUUUUAUAAGAAGUUAAAGAAGUCUGCAUAAUUGCAUAACAUUUUGAAAAGAAAUUGUUUACAUAAUAACUUCUAAGAUUAUAUACAUAUCAGUCACUAACAGUCCAAUGUAUGCAGGUACAAAGUCAUUGGCAUAGUAAGUAGCUGUUAUGCAAGAAUAGCUGGAAUGAGAGGAAUGUCACUGUCUUAGAUAAACAACUCACAAUGACCUGGCAAAGAGGGGGCAACGGGAAAUGAAUACCC
This 1577-nucleotide long non-coding RNA is filed under the name Equus caballus (horse). RNAcentral describes it as "lncRNA (ENSECAG00000046634.1)". Lineage: Eukaryota; Metazoa; Chordata; Mammalia; Perissodactyla; Equidae. The record is from RNAcentral.